Molecule: ribosomal RNA, 408 nt
Filed under: bacterium
Lineage: Bacteria
Also listed under: 1 other name
Description: bacterial SSU rRNA
Rfam family: Bacterial small subunit ribosomal RNA
Source: RNAcentral
GUGGGGAAUAUUGGACAAUGGGGGGAACCCUGAUCCAGCGACGCCGCGUGAGUGAAGAAGUAUCUCGGUAUGUAAAGCUCUAUCAGCAGGGAAGAAAGAAAUGACGGUACCUGACUAAGAAGCCCCGGCUAACUACGUGCCAGCAGCCGCGGUAAUACGUAGGGGGCAAGCGUUAUCCGGAUUUACUGGGUGUAAAGGGAGCGUAGACGGCUGAGCAAGUCUGAAGUGAAAGGCGGGGGCCCAACCCCCGGACUGCUUUGGAAACUGUAUAGCUAGAGUGCAGGAGAGGUAAGUGGAAUUCCUAGUGUAGCGGUGAAAUGCGUAGAUAUUAGGAGGAACACCAGUGGCGAAGGCGGCUUACUGGACUGUAACUGACGUUGAGGCUCGAAAGCGUGGGGAGCAAACAGG